This is a long non-coding RNA of Callithrix jacchus (white-tufted-ear marmoset), 531 nucleotides long. Lineage: Eukaryota; Metazoa; Chordata; Mammalia; Primates; Cebidae. The record is from Ensembl.
UUUUCUUUUGUUAAUUUUCAACAUGAUAAUAAUGGUAAGGACCAGCUGAUACUUUGUUUUAUUUUAUCCAAUUUCAGAGAUGACUACCCUCAACAAGAUGAAGCAAUUAUUUCUCUCUUUAUUUGGUGUUUUCAGAGACCAUUAAGCUUAUUUUGUCCUCAUUGGAAAACAAAGCAAUUUUCUAGUCAAGGUUUAAAAAAAAAGAAAAAACAUCUGGACUCUGUUUCUCCUUCUCUGAGACUACUUUCAGGCAUGUGAAGAUUCUGGAAUUUAACAAAAUUACUUAUUUACUAAUGAGCUGUCUAUCUUUUCUUAUUGUCAUGUCAUCAGGAGUUACUUAACUCUAUAAAAUUUUCUUCGUUUUAAAAUUCAGUCUACAUCCACAUAACCAAUUGAAUAACUUCUAUUCACAAAACAAUCCAAAUGCUGUAUCUUACAGUGAACAUCAGUAUAUAAAUGACUCCAAAAUAAAUAUUAUAAUAUCUAUAAAUGAUAAAGAUAUAGAUGAAAUUAUUUGGUCGAUCUAAUCAA